Molecule: long non-coding RNA, 6605 nt
Organism: Phyllostomus hastatus (greater spear-nosed bat)
Lineage: Eukaryota; Metazoa; Chordata; Mammalia; Chiroptera; Phyllostomidae
Exons: 3
Source: RefSeq, a predicted model, not a curated record
GAAAGAGAGAGAGAGAGAAACAUCAAUGUGAGGUUGCUGGGGACCGUGGCCUGCAACCCAGGCAUGUGCCCUGACUGGGAAUCGAACCUGCGAUGCUGUGGUUUGCAGCCCUCGCUCAAUUCACUGAGGAGCUACUCCAGCCGGGGUUCAUCUGCUUCUCAUAACAAGACCCCUGGCCCAGGCUCGGCCAGUGAGACCCGGUGCCGGGACUUGGUCUGGGAUCUCCCUGCGGCUGGCUCAUCCCGGAGGCUCCUGAGUCUAUGCGGCAUUGGCCUUGAGCUGUCUGUGGACCAGCGGUGGAUUACAAACACACAGAGGCCAGCAGAGGGGCGUGGCCAGGGAGGACUUCUCCAAGCUAAUGAUGUUUCAGCUGAGCCCCAGCUGACCAGAAAGAGCCAGCGUUGCCAGAAUCCAGAGAGAAGACAUCGUCAGAAGGGGACGGGGCUCCGCCACUGAGGCUAUUUUUGUGAAAAGCUGAGGAUUCAAAAGCGCGUCUCCUUGAAAGCCUCCCUGAUCUCGGAGGAGCUGAAGACGCAGGGGCAGAGCUGAGCGGCACCUGAGUCCUGUUCACUCCGCCGGAAUCAUAAUCCCCGCCCCAUUGCUGACGGCCCGCCCACCAACAGGGGCCAGUCCGGGACAACCGCGGCCUCGGUCCCCAUAACCUUUUAAAGUACGUACAUGCCUAAGGGGUUGGUGCCAAUUUGGCAGACGCAGGAACUCCGGCACAGAGAGGUUAAGAAACCAGCCCAGCGUCACACAGCUGGUACUGGAGCUGGGAUUGACACUCAGGAAUUCUGGCUUCCAUUUAAAGAAUAGUUGCACUAUUAUUCUUCGCUCCACCACGCUGUCUUUGAAACGCCUUCUCAGGUCCUUGCACGCCCACCUCCUCCACCGGGCACUUGUCCCCACCCUGUCCUCUGGUUCCUCUCUCCGAUCUCACUACUGCCCUUUCGCUGGAGAUCUUUUUCUGCAGCUCUGACCGCACGAUCCGUUCAUUUUGUUUACACGCGUAACGAGUAUCGUUUGACUACCUACUAUGUACCAGAUGGUCUGGGCUCAAAUACCGCAGGGAAUAAGGCAGACACCUGCCCUGAGUUUACAACACUGUCUCGUCCAGGGAGAGACACGGCACCAAGCACACAAGCACAUCAAUGUAUAAUCACAAAUCUGAAGAUGACGAAUCUGACACCCAGGAGACUAGGAGGGCCAAGUCUAGCCGCCGACAUGGAGGGCUGGGAGACGAGUGCUCUGACAAGGGAUCCUAUAGGCCAAACCCCCACGAUGACAAGGAUCCAGCCUUGUGAAAAGCAGGGAAAAGUGUUUCUUAAGGAGGGAAUAGCAUGCGUGAACUCCCAGCGGCAGGAAAGAACUCUGUGCAUUCAAGGAAAUUAAAGUCCCUGGCGUGGCUACAGCUGGGAAGAGGAGGGGAGGAGAGCGGGGACCGUACUGGGGAGGGUCUGGGGGACCUAGUGCGAGGCAGGCGCCUCAUCGGAAGUGAGAUGGGGAGAAAGGGCACCGUUCUGCCUCUAGUGCCGCCGGCAGCCUGGCGGUCCUGUCCAGGGUGACGAUGGGUGUGAGCAGGAGAAUGAGGGAGCACUGAGGGGUCCCCGGCCUGCCCCCCCCCGUGUCCUGUCCUGAGGACCUGGGGCUGGAGCAGCCAGGCUGACCUCCUGCUGGUGCAGGCCUGGGAUGGGCUGUGAGCCGGGGCUCCAUCAGACAUGUGUACACACACACACACACACACACACACACUCCUGAACACCCUGGGCUGUGUGCCUGCACCUUCUCAACACCUGGGGCUCACCCCCAUCCUCACCUUCUGAGCGAGGCUAUCUCUGAACCGCCCUGACUAGAGUGGCAGCCCCUGUCCCACGCUGUCCCAUUAUCCGGGUGACCUUUCUUGAUAGCAAUGCCCGAAAUGACCUCCUGCGUCUGUUUGUUCCCCAUUUUCUGUCGGCCCCCCUCCCCGCUCCCCCAGAGCAGGGGCAGCCCCAACAAGUGCCUGUUGACUUUCUGCCCUUGCUUUCGGCUCAAGACGAAGCAGAGAGCAACAUCCCAGGACGCUUCAUUUAGGUCCCUUCCAGAAUCACCGUUCCCGAUGGCACUUCGGCUGCGCCUUUGCCCGCAUGGAGGGGUCAUUUUAAAAGUGCCCCAAUGAGAAUGGUUCUGGGGCCUGUCCGGACACCAUCCAGGGCGCCCUUCCGUCCCCCAAAGCCCGCACUCCUCACGAACCUGGAGAGAGUCCUCCCAGGGCCCAGAAUCAAGGAAACCUGGUUAGUUUCCAUGUGUAAUUGACAUGUUUUUCUCUUUGCUUUGAUUGCUGGAAAGCCCAGGGGCAGGUUCUUCCACUGCCAGCGAGUUUACAGGACCACGGCCAUCUCCAGGCUAAUCUGUUCUCGUCAUCCUUUCGUCUAAUCCAAGAAAUAUUGGUCCUGGGCUUCCCCUUCACUGGGGAAUCGACAGUGAGUGAAGCAGACGGAACCCCUGUUUUCACGGCACUCACAGUCAGCAGGGAGAGACAAGAAAGCAACCUAAUAAGUACCUAUGCCCUAUGUCAGGGGGCAAUAAACGCUACAGAAAACUAUUAAGGAGGGAAGGGGGGAAGGGAGCCCGGGUUGGUCUGCAAUUUAAAAAGGGGGUAUGUGUGUGUCAGGGAAAGGUGACACCGCGGUGACAUUAAAGCAAGGGCUUGGAGGAGGUGAGGGAUGACAACCAGAGGGUGGUGAGAGGAAGGAUGUUCCAGGGAGAGGGAACAGCAGCAGACAGAGGCCCCGAGUGCAGAGGCAGGAGAGCCAUCAGGCAGAGGAAUGGGGCACGUGGUCACAGGGGUAAUGGGGUGCGGGCCCUCAGGGCAGUGAAGGCUCGUCCCUGAGUGAGACGGAGCCUUGCGGGGUCCGGAGGGGAGGACUCCGAGUUUCUGAGCGUUGUUAUGACAGCAUCUCUCUGGCAUCUGUGUUGAGCGUAGACUGGGGGACAGGAUAGGACACCAGGGGAGGCUGCUGCCAAGGCCCAGGGGGGAGUGUGGCUGGGACCCCCGAGCAGCCACGAAGGGGUUGGGGAGGCGUUGGAAUCUGGAUGCGUCUUGGAGGUAGAAGCAACAGGAUUUCCUCAAGGUUCACAGGGGCGUGAGAGACCGAGGGGAGUCAAGGGUGACUCCCAGGUUGGCCUGAGCAGCCGGAGCAGUUGCUGUCUGGGACGGGGAGACGGUGGUGGAAGCGGGUUUGGGGUGGGGUGACCAGCAGUUCCGUUCUGGUCCAGGUUAAGUUUGAGUUGAGAAAGGGGGAUUUGGAGCAGGCAGGGUGCGUGAGUCUGGUGCUCCGGGAGAGGGCUGGCCGGAGAUGGACGCAGGAGCCAGCCGUCCGCGGGCGCUGCUGAACUCGGCCAGGCCCCAAGGGGUCAGCAGGCAGGAGUACAGACCCCAGAGAAGCGGGCUGAGGCUGCCUGCCCACGUUCCCGGUGCUGAGAGGAGAGUAUGCGGUGAGGGGGGCCGGGGGGCCUGGGCUCCUGGAAGCCAGGUGGAAAGAGUGUGCGAAAGAGGAGGGACUGAUCAGCUGAGACCAAUGUGGCCAAUCAGGACUGAGAAUCACCACUGGCUAUGGCAACGUGGAGGCCAUUGGUGAGCUUGAGCCAGCAGUUUGGGUUGAGAGGACAGGCUGGCACAACAUAGGCAAGGGCCCUGACCGGGAACCGAACCGGCGACCCUUUGGUUCACAGGCCAGCGCUCAAUCCACUGAGCCACACCAGCCAGGGCUCAUCCUUUUUUUAAAAGAAGAGUCUAUUUAGUUUUAGAGAGAGGGGUGUGAGAGAAACAUUGAUCGGUUGUCCCUCACACAUCCUGGCUGGCGCCCUUUUGGUUUGCAGGAUGACGCCCAACCCCCUGGAAUCCGCCAGUCAGGCCCACUCUCGUCCUUUGUUUACGGCUUCGUAUGAUUCCAUUCUGUGAGACACUGUGUGUUUUUACCCAGUGCCCCCGGGGCGGACAGCCAUUCGAGGUCGGACCUGUUAUUAUCUCCAGUUUACAGAGGAGCCACUGAGGUGCCGGCAGGCUCAGGGGCUUCCCGGCGGCUCAGCCGCUCGCUGCGGUGGGAACGCCACGCCCGCAGCCGCGGGCUUGGCCGUCCUCCGCCUCCCGGAUGAGUUUCCAGCUCUGCUUUCUCCCUCGCUCCUACACGCUUAGCAAUGACUUGACCACCCUUUUGUUCAUGCGAAUGCCACACAUUUACAAGCCUUGACCAGGUGCCAGGCUCAGGGCAAGGCCCAGAGGAUGUGAAGGACGGGACAGAGAAGUCCUGUGCCGCACAGGAGUGGGCAGGCCGAGUCUGUGUGUGUUUUGUAAGCCACCCCCAGUCUUCCUCGAAUGACAGAGAGAAUAAAGAAGCCUGGUCCCUGUUUUUCACUAACGAGGAAACCAGCCGUGCCAACGAAUGACUGUGACAGUCCUGGGAGCUGAACACUGCUAAAGAAGCCUGGGAACCCAAAACACUGAACUCUGCAACGCUGGCCCCAUUCCCUGCCACCUCCCAGCAACUCCCCACCACCACCUGGCCCUCCUCCAAUUUCCCAUCUCUGCGAAAGGCCCACCGCCCAGCCAGUGGCUAAAGCCUUCAGGGAUUGGCCCCUCCCACUUCCCAUCUCAGGUCAUCCACCCUGUCCUGAGACCAUCCCCUGAAGACCUCCGGACUCUGCCUCACCUUACUCUGUGGGGCUACUGACCCCUGCCAGGGGCCUUCUCUUAAAGGAGUCACCCAUUCCUCCCUGGUCUUGUCUCCACGCCGGCCCCUUCCCAUCCACUGUCCAUCCAGCCGAUGUGUCACUGCAUCAUUUCUUUGUUCUAACCUUCUAAAGCUUCCCUUUGCUGUCUGUCCUAGGACUAAUGUCUGGGAGAAAGAGCCCAGUGCUUAGGACCGUGGGCUCUGGGGCCCGAAUCCCAGCUCUGCAACUUAGCAGGUGUGAGACCUUGAGGGACCCGCUUAACCUCUCUGAGUAGGCAAAAUUCGAGAUACUGUAAUGGCAUAAACAAGCAUGAUAAAUGCUAAUGAGAUACAUUAGAUAAUGAUAAUAAUCGCCCCUACCUUUCAAGCUGCCACGAGGAUUAAGUUAAUGAGGUCCACUCCCCUCCCAGGUGUGCAAACCCUGAACGCUGAGGGUCCCCAGGAGACUUGCCACCAAGGGAGCAACAGGUGGAAAAAGCUUGUUCUGGACUCCGAGGCCCCCUUUCCUCUGACUUCCCAGGGAGCCAGAGCAGCCCUGCCUAAGCUCACUUCUUUCCUGUAAUGUUUCUAGAGCCGAAGAAGCCCCACCCGGGCUCUCUCCUGUUGCUCCUUCUAUCCUAAGCCCUUCCCUGUUUCCCUGUCCCCAGCUUAAAGAAACAUGCUCUCAAAAUCAGAAAAGGUCGUGAAUAUUAUAACAGGCCCUGUGCUCUGGGUCACAUCUAGGUCUACAACCUCACCAGUUCUCAUCUCCUCUAUGGACCUGCGGAAACGCUUUUGAUUUUCUGAAAGCAUCACAUUCCCUCCCACUCUGUCCUGUCUGCAGCCCCUCUGAGUUGAAUCCAGGGUCCUAGUUCUAUUCCAUCAUAUCUCCAACAGCUAGACACACGGCAUGUUGAAAAACAAAAAUGAAUGAAUGAGAAAGGCACUGUAUUGCAUUCUAAUGGAUAUGAAUAGCAGUUUUCCAGGUAAAGAAGGGACGGAGGUAGGGCUAUGAAAGGGCUUGUUCCACCCUGGGGGCUGGAGGCUCCCAGUGCCGGGAGAACAGAAGGAAGAUGAGGUUGGAGAGGAGGGCUGAGCCCAAUCCAGACUUUUCUGUGUGGGCACAGGAUAUUCACAGGGGAAGGCUUUUGUAACAGUGGCAGUUGCAGGAGAGAUGGAGGCCCGGAGCUGGGUAAGUGGCUAAGCUCCAGGGGAACAAGGAAGAGGUCUGAACCAGGGCAGUAGCUGCGGGAAUAGAAUGAAGAAGGAAGAUUUGAGAGAAAGAAUAUAAUUUCCUGAGCACUUUUACUGAAUGCCUCCUAGGAAAGAUGUGAGGGGAUUAAGGGAAUAAAGAGCAGAAGUAGCAUUUUCCCCUGUCUUCAAGUAGCUCAAAUCCCAGGAUAGGCGGACAGACCUAUAAAUAAAAAUAUGAAUGCAAGGAAGGUCAAAUUCAGUACCACUGCAGCCAGUCUCAUAGAAGGAUCUCUGUAUGUGUAAAAUCAGCAAAUUAAAGCAUCAUCCACUUUUGAGUCCUCUGUCACCUACCCCAAGGCUCUUUUUAAGUUCUCAAAUUAUUGCUAAAACACACUUCAAUAUAUUUUCACAACCCACCAACUUUUAGUAGUAUAGACUUAGACUUAGCAGCCCCUGAUCUUGGACAAGUUACCGAAUUCUCUUAGCCCAAGCCCACAUUAGCUAUCAUAUCAAGGUGAAUGAGAUGAGAACGGGGUGGGGGUGAGGGAGGGCAGAGAAUGUGGAGGUGUGGUAUUGGGGCAAGAUCCUGCAGGGCCUUGUGAGCUACCAGAAAAGUUUUGGACUUUAUGCCCUGGCUGGUGCGGCUCAGUGAAUUGGAUGCCGGCCUGAGAACCAAAGGAUCCCAAGUUCAAUUCUCAGUCAGGGCACAUGCCUGGGUUG